Molecule: long non-coding RNA, 292 nt
Filed under: Bos taurus (domestic cattle)
Lineage: Eukaryota; Metazoa; Chordata; Mammalia; Artiodactyla; Bovidae
Description: long non-coding RNA NONBTAT015085
Source: RNAcentral
ACAAAACUCUUUGGAUCAAAUAGCUCGCUCUAACUAUGAGAGCCAACAGAAUAGUUUGGGGAGUGGGAGGAUGUAAGCAGCUCAUCUGACAUUCUGCUAAGUUAGCAGAUUUCUUUCUUCCCAUGUGGACCGCAGAAAAUGGGCAGUUGGAACGAUGGGUUGGCUUAGGAGCAGGUCUGCAGAGUGUUGGGACAAAUUAGCCAGCAUGCUGGGUAUUGUAAAGGGUGGGGACCCUUGAGAAGACCAUCGUAUUCAAGUUUAAUAUGACACCUUAGAGAGUUAACACGUUGGU